This is a long non-coding RNA of Antechinus flavipes (yellow-footed antechinus), 14114 nucleotides long. RefSeq lists it as uncharacterized. The transcript has 6 exons. The record is from RefSeq and is a predicted model, not a curated record. Lineage: Eukaryota; Metazoa; Chordata; Mammalia; Dasyuromorphia; Dasyuridae.
UAUAAAGCAAGGGCAGUGGGUUUUUUCAUCAAUCAAUCAGUCAUUCAACAAGCAUUUAGUAAACACCUACUGUGCCAAGCACCGUGCUAGAAGCUGAGGGUACAAAGACAAAAGGGAGACGGUCCCUGCCCCAGAGGAGUUUCUAUUCCAUAAGGGAAACAGCACAUACACAUAUAAGCAAGCGUAAGAUAGAAAGACGAUAAGACAAUAAUUUCCAGGUACAAAAAAAGGCAUUUGCAGUUUGAGGUGGGAAUUAGGAAGGGGAAGGAUGACAGUGGUUCCCAGCUUCCCAGACACAGAGGACGGGGGCAUUCCAAGCAAGGGAGGCCUUGGGCACAGGUGCGAGAAGGGACAGAAUGCUGUACAUGAGUGCAACAAGAGGGCCAUACUGGCUGGAAUCCCUCAUGGGUGGAAGGGAUGGGCAAUGUGCACCCAGCCACACAUACAUAUAUGUACAUAUGUAGGUAUAUUCACACAUAUACAUAUGCACUCUACAUACAUACGUACAUAUAUAGUGAAAGCUUUUGGAACGUAGGAAGAAGUUCAAUUGUAAACAGCUUAAAAGGAACAUAGAAGAGUUUAUAUUUUUUUCCCAAAGCACUAACAAGUCACGGGGAUGAGUGACAUGGUCAGACCUGGAGUUGAGGAACACACCUUGGGGAGCUUGUGGAAGCCUGGAGGUUCACAAAAACCAGUGAAGUAGAUCCUGACCCACCCACCAUUCCCCCACCAUCCGGUGCCUUCAAGAACAUCUGAGCAAAGCUAAGCUGCCAUUUCUAGAGUGCUUUUGUGAAAUGUUUUAUAGACAUCAUUUCAUGUCAGUCCCUCAAUGACUGCAACGUGCUACGUGUGAUAUUUCCUCCAUUCUGUAGAUGUGCAGAUAGAAACUCCAAGGGAUUAAUCAGCUUGCCCAAGGCUGCAUGUGAUUGAAAUGAGGUCUUGUUGAGUCCAAACCCAAGGCUCUAUCCGCUGCCCCAAACUGCCUCUGGACCCUUGAUUGGUAUUAUGAAAGAAAGAACAUAUUGAAAGCCUGGGAGAAAUGAAUCCAUGACUAAAAAGUAAUCAUGUUUAUUGUUUUUUUUUUUUUUUUUUUUUUUAGUUUUGACAAAAUGGCACGAGGAAUGAUUAAUCAUAAGAAAAUUUUUUUCCAUAAAAGAUUACACUUUGGUGUAGUGGAUAGAGCAAGGCCUGGAUUCAAAUCCUGGCUCAGACCACUUAAUAGCAGUGCGAUCCCAGGCAAGCCUUUUCUCGUCUGUACAAUGGGAGGAUUAGAUCUGAUGACCUCCAAGAUUCCUUCUAAGUCACUAACAGCUCAUUCUCUUCUUUGCUUUCCGUCCAAAAAUCCUUCCACCAGGAGAGGAAGAAAAAGAGGUGUCUUGAGGGCAGGAACUACUCCAGGUGUUUUUGGUUUUUGUCUUUGUUACCCCCAAACCUAGCACUGGGCCUAGUACAUGGUAGAAAUGGAAUAAAUGCUUGUUGAAGGAAUGAAUGAACGAAUGAACUUCUGCCUGCUUCAUGAGGGGGGGAAGAGGUCCAUUUUAGAAAGGCACGCUUGCUGCCUCCUGAUGAAAUAUCUGAAAGAAUCUUCUCAGCCAUCUUCUAAAGGAAAAAAGUUCUGAGUCUCUAACGCCUGCCGUCUGAAAUCCAAAGGAAAUGAGGGGAAAAUGACUCUGAGAAUCCAGAGGCACACCGAGCAGGUAAGUCGGUGCCAAACUCAUUCAGAGAGGCCCCUCAUUUCCACCUCAAUCUGCAGGUUCAUUGAACCCUUUCAAAUGUGACCACGUCUGACAUGUCGACCGACCCUGAGCAACGGGACUUUGAUUUCGGCUUAGGCUCCUCUGGAAGGUUUAGCAAUCAAAGGGUUUGUGGAGCCAGGACAAGAAUUUCAGAUGACAGGUUCCUGUAGAAUUACGCGAGUGCUUUCGCCAGAUGAAUGCACCAUGAGCCUCAACUUCCAUUUCCUCAUUAAGGAUUACAGAAGUCAUUAAAAGCCUGCUCAUAAGCCAGCUGGUUCAGGUUCUCAUUGCGUGUUAUUUUCAAUAUCAUCUGCCCCUCCCCGCUUCCCUUUUGGAGUGAAAUGAAUAAGAAGCAGCAGAAAUAUGGCAAAAUGUCAUUCAAUAGAUCUUUAAGGGUCAUUCUCUUCCCUCCAAGGCCUCUUUCUCAUUUCCUACCCCUUCCUGACUCCUUGCUUUAAUGAACUUAUAACCGGAAAAAAAAAAAAAAUCUUUCUAGAGAGACAAACAGAAUGACUACAAUGUUAGAGAGAGUAGAACCGUGAUUUUAUUCAGAGGAAAUUCCUUUUAUUACUCUAACUGAUAGUUUUAAAGAAUUCUUUACAGCACUAAAAGGUUAAUUAACUUGCCCAGGAUCAUACUACUAUUAAGUUUCAGAAGCAGGACUAGAACUAUUUUUCGGAUUAGAAACCAACUUUCUCUGUCUAUUCUGUCACAUGACCUCAUUGUAAAAGAAAUAAAGUAGUUACCAAGUGCCCAUCAGUCUAUAGAGUAUGUUGAAAACUUGAGGACCCUGUCUUUAUACACACUUUUUUUUAGGAGUAGCCUUAGAAAAUCAAAAAGAGUACCACUUUUAAUUAGGCCUUUAUUUUUUAAUAGCCUGAGCAAUUUUGCAUUUUCUCCUCAUCCAUCUUCUCAUAGUAUUUAGAUCACUUUUGGUGAAUUGAACUUGUUGUGAGGCAUAAUUUGGUGAUUCAGGAAAUCACUUUGGAUACUUGUCUAGUUCUUUGUUAAUCUUUGUUGUUAAUUUGCUUUUUGGUCGUGUCUGAGUUGUCACGACCCCAUUUUGGAUUUUUUUCUGGCAUAGAUACUGGAAUGCUUUGCCAUUUCCUUCUCCAGUUCAUUUUACAGAUGAAGAAACUGAGGCAAAUAGUAUUAAAUGACUUGAUCAGGGUCACAGAACUAGUAAAAGUCUGAGGCCAGAUUUGAACUAAAGAAGGUGAGUCUUUUGGACUCCGGGUACAAUGCUCUAUCUACUAUGGCGCCACCUAGUGUCCCUGUUCUUACUGAACUACAACUACUUCAAGGAAAUUAUUCCACUUCAAUUUUAUCAUGUAUAAACUGUAAGGGUUGCAGUUCCUGAAAUCCUGGUCUCCAAAGCAGAGGGAGGAAAGGUGCUAUGCUAAAGCAAGCUCCUCAUGUUCUGAACCUAUGGAGAGGUUUGUGAUGGUUGAGAGUAUGACUUAAAAGAGUCUAAGAAAUCAAAAUUCUUGUGUCUUGAAAAACAAACAAAAAAAUACUGAAGGAAAUCAACAUUACUGUAACUAGAAAACAAAGAAGGGGUCUUCUUGGUUUUCCAAAGAAAACUGAGAUAAAAGUUGCCUCAAUACAAGUGAGCUAGAUAAUGUUGUUGAAGAUGUCGAGCUCAUUUUGCUAGUUUUUCUUCAUGAGAAUGGAAAAAAGAAAAAAAAAAAAAAAGAAUAAGGUAUUGCAGCAUUUAAAUGACCCUACCGAUGGAUCCUAUAAUAAGGGCUUAGAAAUGGCUCAAUUUCUUCACCCAGUUAAUCAAACUGAUUUAUCUUCCUAAAUAAUUGGUUAAUUGGAUCCCUCAUUAUCUAACCAGUUGUGGGGUCACAAAGACAUUAACAAAGACCAGAAAAAAUGAUAGUAGAAACCAGAAAAAGUCAAAAAGCUUAGUAUAGUUAGAACAGAGCUUAACACACUUUUCAGAAUGAGUAAAACAUGCUCCAAGGAAGAAUUAAGUCUGCCCCAUGUUAAGAGUUGAAUGUGUUUCAUUUACCAAAUACUCAUUCACAAAAAGUAAGUAGGAUUAAACUAUCCAGCACAUAUCUUGGCAAUGUUGACAUCUGAUAGUACUCUAUCUUUGAACAAUUCUCAGUUUAAGGACAGCCUCAGGAAUCACUGAAAUGUAAAGGUCCUACCCAGCUUUCUGACUGCAGGGAAACGAUUCAUAUCAGUGUCAUUAUUGACAAUAACACACGUGAGCACUUCACUAACAAUGUGACUCACACUAAAUGAAUGAGUUAAUAAAUAUUUAAUACUUUGUGCUAAUCACAGUGUUAAGUGUUAGGGAUACAAAAACAAAAAGCAGACAACUUGAAGAUGAGGUUUGAAUGAUUUCCUAAUUUGAUCUAUGGAGGGUUCUAGAAUUUGGCUUAGAUAGAGCCCAUCAUUUCCUUUUGCCUGUCCCCUCGUGUUCCCCCUUUCCUCCCCUGACCUCUGUGUGUGUGUGUGUGUGUGUGUUUAACAUACAUUUGACUUGAACAGAAGUUGCCUUAGAAAAAGGAAUGCAUGUUUAAGGAUCAUUCAUAUUUCCAUUUGGCUCAAUUUGUUAAGACCUAUAAAAGAUUAGGAAAUUUUCAACUUAUCUAAUCUGAUGGCAAACACUUUUCUUUUAAGUUCUGAUUUCUAAAGUACGAAGGAAGAAAGGCAGCUGUUAUGGAAACUUUUUAUGUUUUUUUUUUUUUAAUUUUUCCUAAAAGAAUAAUAGUUUUUUUUUUUUUUAAGUGAUCAAAUAAUGGCAAGGAUCAGAUACAAAAAUUUUAGGAAAAUCUCUCCAGAUUUUUUUCAAAUCGUUUCCAAGACACCUCCCUUUUCAUCUAUUCAUGUCACAGAUAAAAACUAGCUAAAUUCAGCCAAGUGUGUUAAUGGAAGUUUAGCUGGGAAUGCUGUCUCUGAGGAACAUUUUAUACCCACUGCUGAAAUAGCCUUCUCAUUAGCCAAGAGAAUUCUGAAAGCUUUCCAUAUCUGGAAAAAAACCCACGUUCUUUCUCUCUCUUUCUCUUCUCUUCCCCCCUCCCCGAUCUUUUUGUAUCUCUCUCUCUCUGUGUGUCUGUCUGUCUCUCUCUCUGUGUUCUCCCUCUGUGUCUCUGUCUCUCUCUCACAUAUCUUCAGCACUUAGUGCCUGACACACAGUGAGAUCUUAACUAUUUUUUCAUUCAUCUUAUUCCUUCUUUUUUCCCCUCCCUUUUUUCCUCUCUUCUUCCUUUUCUUUCUCCCUCUUUCCCUGCCUCCUUUCCACCCUCUCUCUUACUUUUCUCUCUCCCACCCUACUCCCCAUUUUUUCGUUGAUUCCCAAACAAUGUAAUCUUCGCCUGUACACUCUCAGAAACGUCAAGGUCAGUCCCCCAUGCCUGUGUCUUUCAUGCUUUUGUUUAUGGGAAGGAGUUCAAAGGAGAGGGUGGAAUGUCAGGCCUUUCUCAGAUGAUGUAUUAACACUUUACACAAACCUUGGUUCAAGAGUUAGAAACGCCUCCUUUUCAACUAAACUCAAGGCUGCUGGAAACAAAAGUUAAUGGUGAGUCUCCUGUGACCUUAUUCAGCACCAAAGCCUUCCUUGGAUUUCAAUGGGAGCUCCAGAAGGGGCUAAUUGCCGGCUUGGAAUUUCCUGCUGGUACUUCUACUGUUAGUUUUGAUUUCUUCAAUAUUACUUAGGCUGGUUACGGUUAUCUUUUAGCAAUAGGAGUACAGUCUCAAGUUGUCUAUGUGCAGAAAAAGGGGAGGGGACAGGAAUAGCCUGAGUCAUACGGAAGGUCCAGGUGACCUAAGUACUUUGGGGAUGAGAAGAACAUAAGGAUAUGCCAGAAUUUUAAUAUAUUUGGUCAAACAGGUAGCUUAACAGGAAGGAAUUGGGGUGUGGAUUGGGUAAGGGAGUAACAGGAAACUGGGUGUAAAUUUUGGGAAAUGAGAAUUGUCUUGCACCCAUUAUUUGGUGGGUGACAAACUGAGUCAGCAGGAAGGAAGUUCUGAUGGAAAGUUACGGCAUUUUUGUCACAGUUGAAAGGCACCUGAGGCCACCUAAUACAACCUCAAUCAGAAUCAGAAUCUCAACGAGCACCUACUCAGUCUUUGAAGACUUCCAGGAAGGGGAAGGCAAUUUGUUCCACUUCUGGUCAGUUCUAAUUAUUAAGGCUUUUGAUCAGUCAAAGUCUACAAUGAUUCUCCAUCCAGGAAGAUAUUCUUGUACCUCUAGUCUAUCUGUGCUGUUACCAGGGAUGAAGCCACACAACAUAUGCUAUUCCUUCCUGGAACCUCAAAGCCCACUGACGACACCAUGAAACUACCUUGAUGGACCAUAAAGGCAAGUGAUUCUGAGAAGCCAGGCAUAGUAUCUGGGGGAGCAAACAGACCCGAGGCAGGCGAAGAUACAAUAUGCUCACAACAUUCUCCUCUCGCUGAGGAAAAGCAGGUGGGUGCUGUUAUUAUCCUGUUACAGAUGAGGAAACUGAGGCAAAUGAAAGUUAAGGAACUCCACUCAACUAUCUGUGCCAAGAAAAUCCCAAAUGGGGUCAAGAAGAGUUGGAAACAACUAAAAUGACUCAGCAACAACAACAACCACAACCAAAAUCACCCAGGAUCACUUCGGUAACUGGCAAAUGGAAAAGAGAGACUGAGGACAAGAAAUACUUCAGAAGACUUUUUGGAGACUUUAUAUACAGAAAAAUUGCUCAUGGCAACCCACAUGAAGCAGCAGAUCGCUACAGCCCUGAGCUCCUCCAACAGACCAUCCUUUGAAUGAAUCAAAUGACUGCCACCAAUUAAGUGCUCCCUGACCUCUGCCCUAUAAAAUGGAGAGGGAACAAUUUUGAGUCUUCAACUAUCUGAGGACAUUUGCAAUACACGAGCAGACAAAGACCUCCUCUCGACCAAGGGAGAUCAUGUCUUCUGUCGUACUCAGCAACGUGACCUCUUGGAGUCCCAGUACCCACUCCACAGAAUACGGUACCUUUUUCUUGAUAUGAAAACACCCUAAUAAAAGCGAGACAGGCAGUGUAGGAGAAUGGUUAGAUGGCCAGUCAUGGACAUAGAAAGAGUUUUAAGUCCUGGCUUUGACAUGUACUGAUUGUGUGACUGUAGACAAGUCAUUGGUAGUUCCAUAAAUAGAGGGCUAGACUUGGAGUCGGGAAGACCAGAGUCCCUCAGACCCGUAUUAAGUGUGUAACCCUAGUCAGGUAACUUGACUCAGUUUCCUCAACUAUAAAAUGGGAAUAAUAAUGGCACCUAUCUUCCAGGAUUGUCUUGAAGAUCAAAUGAAUUCAAAUAAAUUACUUUAUUUGUAAAGAGCUUGCUAGAACAGUGCCUGAUACAUAGUUAUAUAAAUGACAAUUAUUAGAAUGUUUAUUUUAUAAGUAACAUUGAAGCUUUAAGCAUGGGAUCAUAAAUCUACAUCUUCAGAAUGAGCAAAAGGCCUUGUGAGCUUGGAACUUCCUAGUGACUGGCCAGCUUCAAGGGUCAGUGUCGUUUCCAGUGUAGUUCAUGCUGAUUACUAAUCCUAGACUGGCUCCCUACCAACCACCAUUAUUCAAAUUGUCUUUUUUUUUUUUUUUCCUUUUUUGCAAGUCAGUUGUGGUUAAGUGACUUGCCCAGGAUCACACAGUAAGUGUCAAGUAUCUGAAGUUGAAUUUGAACUCAGGCCAACUGUCUUAAGAGAAAUCAGGAAAUAAUACAGAAUACACCAACAGAAUGAAAGAACCUCAGAGUUGCAAGAGGCCCCAGAGAUCUCCUAAUUCCACCCAUGGCUGAAAGAAUACCUAUUAUGACAGUGGUCGUGCUUUCUCUGCUUGGAAACCUCCAUCAAGGGGGGAUUUCCCCAUGACCUCUCCAGGCAGCUUUGUUCAAUUCUGUUCCAAUGGUGAGGAAGAUUGCCCUGACAAUGAGCCUAAUGGAAUCUGAUAGUACAGGGAGUGAUGAGAAAGAUGAAUUUCAAUUUCUUUGCUUUCAUUUCAUUAUUAUCUUCUGAAGAAACUUCUUGGUGGCAGACACAGAGAGAUUAGGUGUCUCGCCCCAAUUGCAAGAGGAAAGAAGCAGCAGUCUUAUUGUGAAGCUGGAGACUUCUCUAUUAGCCUAUAAGUACCCAAAGUCCAAUGUGAAUCAAAAUAUUAAUAAUAUGCCCCCUUUGGAGGCAGGACUCAAAGGCAGAGCUUCUAGUGCUGUUCUAGUCACCAAAGUCCAAUGUAAAUAAAAAUAAUAAUAUGCCCCUUUUGGAGAUAAGACUCAAAGGUAGAUCUAUCUUCCUAGCACUAUUCUAGCCACCAAAGUCCAAUGUGAAUAAAAAUAAUAAUAUGCCCCUUUUGGAGGCAGGACUCAGAGGUAGAUCUUCCUAGCUCUGUUCUAGCCACCGAAUAUCAAUGUAAAUAAAAAUGAUAAUAAUAGGCCCCCUUUGGAGGCAGGACUCAGAGGUAGAUCUUCCUAGCACUGUUCUAGCCACCGAAGAUCAAUGUAAAUAAAAAUAAUAAUAUGCCCCUUUUGAGGUAGGACUCAAAGGUACCUAGCACUGUUCUAGUCACCAAAGUCCAAUGUGAAUAAAAAUGAUAAUAAUAUGCCCCUUUUGGAGGUAGGACUCAAAGAUAGAUCUUCCUAGCACCAUUCUAGCCACUGUGCCAGGCUGCUUAAUUUAAAGAUCAUUUUUUCCAGGCUACAAUUUUUGGAGGUGAGAAAACUGAACACCAAAGAGAGUGAAGAGUUUGUUUAUGAGACAGAGUCAAGAAUCCAAGCUUGUCCUUGAGAGACAGUGUGGUAUAAUGGAUAGAGAACUACCAAUCUAGUGUCAGAGGAACCAUGUUUAGAUCUGACCUCUCUGGACUGCAGGAGUUAUUUUUUUCUCCCUUUAAAAUAUGGGAUAUGUGUAUGUGGGGAGAUCACAUCUUCUAAAUUUAUGAUUCUAUGACAAAUAGAAUUCAAGGUUGGAUACGACAUUAGAGGUCAACUAUCUCAAUGUACUCCUGAAAAACCUGGUUAAUUAUAUUGACUUGAGGGUUUUUCUAAAGUUUAAAAAAAAAUAUGAUUAAAACACUUGGGGGAGAUAGUGAGGCUGUCACACACUCAUAGAAUAAGGAAACAACAUCAUCGAUUGAGAAAGGUCAGGAGUUACUGGCCCACAGAGAGUGGGAUCCCAAGUGAGGAGCACUAUAGGGAAUCAGUUUUUACAGGGCUCAUCCUGGAAUGGGCUAACCACCACACACCCUCAGAGCUCUCCCUGACAUCAUAACUACCAUCUACAUCAUCAAACGGUCCAGGACAUUCCCAAGUAACAAGAGGCCAGCCAAGAAAAAAAUGACGGCGUCCCUGAGAAAGACAAACACGGCCCAGAAAGUCGCCAGUUGGCCAGGCAAGUGUUUUUUGUUUUCUUUUUAAACUUAAGGAAAACAAACAGCACUGAUUUUUUUCUUCCAUACUCCCUCCAGUUUUCAAAGGCAUCUGGACCUUGACCUGGUUGUUACGGAUAAAGGAGAGUACUUUGUAUACAGCCAAAUAUUUACUGGAAGCUGCUGGCAAGACUAAGAAUGAGGGCUUGGCUGUCCCUGGGAAAAAAGGCAGCAAGAAGCUCCUCAUUCCCCAAGGGCUAAGGAUGAGACAAUGGAUGGAGCUCAGAACCUGGAUAGAAGACCUGAAUAACUCAUGGCAAGUCAGUUUGCUCAUCAGUAAAAUGGACUAGAAAAGGAAAUGGCAAAGCACUCCAGUAUCUUUGCCAAGAAAAAACCAAACAGGGUCACACAGAGUCAGAGAUGACUGAACGAUAACCACUAAAGAUCAAGAACAAAAGACCAAAGAGAUGUCUCCUCUACUAUAGACAUAGAAGAAGAAAGCUUACAGAGUUGGGGGUUUUGGGCAAAUGGGGAAAAGGACUGGUGUGAGUCAGGUACACUAGAGAGAAAGGGUGGAAGAAAGACUCAGUGGUGUAAUGUCCUUUAUAACCACCUCACAGACUAUUGCUUGGCAGAGUUCGGUGGGAAAGGACACUGGAUUCGAAAUCUUAGGAUGUGGGUUCCAAAUCUGACCCUGUCACAUGCUGGCUGUGGGAUUCUGGGCAAAUGACACCUUCCAGAUCUCUGAGCAAGAGCAGAGGAGAGGGACUAUUCCUACCUGGGAGUUCCCUACAUCAAUAAAACCUCAGGUCUAGUGCCCAUCUCCUAGGAUAGUCACCAUUUUGACGACCAUUCAUCCCCUUCUAAACCAUUUUUCACUGAGAAGAGUUAGGGAGAAGAGUAGUUAAAGGCAUAAUGAAACAAGAAAGGGAAAGGGUCAGGAAGAGAGGAAUUCGAGAUGUCAGGAAACUGGCUGCCUUUCCAAAGAAGAACCUUGAAGCUCCUGACCUCCCAAUGACUCUUAAUUCAAGUGCUGAAUCUUCAUCUCAACUCGCCACCCACAAGCAGAACCACGCCAAAAAUCACACCAUCAUUGACCUCUGAGUGCCUACAGUGAUGUCCUUGCUCUUCCACCUUUCCAUCUCUCCCAUUGACUCUUUGCCCCCUUUGGGACCUUAUCUUCCUCUCCUUGCUUUACUUGGCUCCCUACCUGGCCGAGCCCUAGUACUUAGUCCUUCUAAGUCUUACUCAUUAGGAACCUAGAAUCCUUUAAUUGUGUUUGUUAUUAAUAUUCUCUACUGUCCACCUCUAUUCACCUCCAACCUUGGGUGUCACACACUCCUCUGCCUUCUUCCUCUUACCCUUGGACCACCUAAAACCCCAUUAGAAGACUGUUUAAUUCAUAUUAGACACAUUUUUUCCUCCUGCUUUAAAGGAGCCCAUUCACUGCUUACUUGUCAUUGACAUUAAUUUUUAAAGGGAACACUUUUAAUAAUCCCCACCCUUCUUUAUCUGUCAUGGUGCAGUGGGAAAGAACACUGCAUUUAAAACAUUACGGCUCAGACUCCAGUUUUGGCUCUACAACCUGUAGACUUUGAACAAAUCAAUUAUUCAACUGAAUUGAGGGGUUGCCUUAAUGAUUUCUAAGACGCUUUCUAGCUCUAUGACCUGUGUCAGAAUCAAGAUGAAAAACAAAAAAUCUAACCUUAACUUUGGGAUAACAUGGGAAGUUACUAACUUCCUGUGGUACUCACACUGUACUAAUUAACAAAGGGUAAGUAUCCAUUUGUGAAUACAGUCUCUCUAUUUUUCAUAACUAUAUUCACAAAUGGGUACAUUCACCAUUUAUUAAAUAGUACAGUUGUAAGUAUAAUUUGACGUAUACAUCAUGGAACUACAUGAUGAAAGAACAGGAAGGGAUUUUGGCAGUCUUUGGUUGGAAAUCCUCCAUCCUUUCAAUGAUUCCUAUAAUUUAGAUUUAGGGUACUAAAGAGAUACGUCACAGGGUCUGGAUUUGUUUCUUGGGUUUGCCACUUAAUACUCAUGUGACCUCACAGGUUAUUUUAGUUACUUCAUCUAUAAAAUGAAAGGAUUGGACCAGAUAACCCCUAAAAUCACUUCAAGAUGCAAAUUUUGGUGAUCUGGUUGAUUUUACUACAAAGUCAAUUUCCAAAUUUCGAUGGCAAUGUACACUGAGAAAGCAGGUAUGGAGUUGGACAAAUAUUAAGCCCUGAUGCACUCAUGAAUGAGCAUAGGUUUGGGUUAUAUAUGAAUGGAGUUGUAACUAGCCUGGGCAAACUGGGCUUUGCCCCAGGUUGCUAAAAUGUGGAGCAUGUUCUUUCUUCUAUAAUGUCUGACAUUCCUGCUAACUCACACACAGACAUCUGAAGCCACUGAGCCUGGGCAGAGACCGUUCGGGUUACCUCACUGGAGUGUCCCUCCCCUUUCCAGAUCUACCUUGUUUCUUAACCCCUUGAAGGUAUUGAGCACUCUCUCCCAAAAUAACCACACUUAACUCAAACCAAGCUGCCCUAAGAUGCAAAUAGUCCUAGUUACAGCUCUGGAUAUGGAUAUAUUUUGGUGGUUUUCCUAACUAAAAUCGGGGGACCCAACCAAUGUGUAAACAAGAUUCUGGCCUUGUCUCUAUUCCCCAAACUCUAAAAGAGAACAUAUAGCAGAUGAAAGAAUUUACUUUUAAAAAUUGUGUUAAGAGACCAGUUCAAUCCUCAAGUAUUUUUUUCCCAUAUCUUUUUUGAAACUAAACAGACACAAUGGACAUGUAAAACUUGUUACUGGCCAGAUUUGUCUCCCACUGUGACAUCAAAAAUAAUAACCUUACUUGUCUAUUUUAUUUUCCAUGGCUAAAAGGGGAAAAGUCCACUAGAAUCAUCUUUCUCCACAUCUCUCAACUCUUAAAAAAAAAAAAAAAAGCUGGGGGGAGAUGUAGCAUCUUCAAUCACAAGACCUCUCUAAAACAUAGCUUAUCUUUUUGGCCCACUGGAGAGCUCAAUCAGGCAGUGCUUCCCCAGAGAUUGCUUCCCUGAGAAACUUGACCUGUGAGCUCCCACAGAAGAGGAAAGUAGUUUUCUAAUAGCUGCUCUGACCUUCCCACACUUACAUUUGGCCCAGAUUGACUGUGCCUGCUGUUCUAUCUUCUCAUAUUGUCUGUACUGCUCACCCCCUCAAGAGUGUCCUCCAGCUUUCUGCAAACAACAGCCCCCUCACCAAACCUCCCCGUCCAGAAGCUAGCAAAGGCAAAGCUAAUUAUUAAGCCUUGGAUUAGCCAAUUUGGAGACCCUAAAUAAACCGCUGUAAUUUUUUUAUUAAAUAUUUCGACAAGUGGAAAGCUUUCUGCUUGGCUGGUUCAUUACCCAUAAAUGCUCUCUCCCUACCUACCUUGAGAGGGAGUAUGGAUGGAUUGAGUUAUUAAGCCCAUGCCUCCUCUGUUACCAAGAAUGGUUCUAAUCAGUCUCCUCAAUUUCCCAUUUCUUGGCCUGUCUAUUUAUUAAAUUUCCCUGAGACAUCACUGUAUGCUUUACGAGUAAGGUGCCUACUAUGUUGGGCCCUUUCUUUUGUCCUUCCCAUUGACCACCAUAAAGAAAAGACAAUUCAUUGAUUCUAGUUUUUUUAUUGGCAUUAGUAAAAUAGUCAGAUUGGGGGUAGGGCUGGGAUGAGUCUCCCUGGAUGCCAGAGAGAACAUUCAGUUCAGGAUCAAAGACCUUCCACCAUUGACAAUGGAGAUGAGUAAAUCAUAUUUAUUUAGCCUUACAUUUAUUUUCAACCCUCUGAUCCUUUGAUGCUUUUGCUUUAUGAGAUGCAACAAAAGCAAGCCAUUCUAUUGGUUCUCUAGGUUUUGGAAAGGCCACAUGAUCUCAUUUAUGCAGGACUGCCCCUAACUUACAGGGAAAUACUAUGGGCAAAUCCCCUUUCAAAAAGGGUAUCAAUCUAAGGAUGGCUUCCUACAGAGUGCUUGUAGGCUUUAAUACUCUCUAGACCUGGUUUUGUCACAGGAUCAUUGGCUUAGAAUUGGAAGGGACCUUGGAAGUUAGGAAGUCCAAUCUGUAUUUUAUAAUAAAGGAAAAUGACUAAGGUCACACAAACAGUCAAUAGCAGGGCUGGGAUUUGAAUCUCUGCCUUUGAACUGAGCAUUUUUCGCCCUGCUGCCCUCUAUCACAUUCAGUCAGGCCAUAAACUUUUAUCUAUCUAUUUAUCAACCAAUAAGUAUGUAUGAAGUUCCUUUUGUAUGACAGACAUUAUGUUAGGUGUUGUAGAUACAAGGACAUAUACGUGCUAAUGAUAAUCUGCCAUUUUUUUUGGGGGGGGGUAGAGGUUAGAUCUCAAUAGUAAAAUCCAAAUGUCAUUUCUCCUUUAUUUUUCUCUAAACAGCAUCUGAAUCUCAUUAGUUUUAGUUUAAAUAAGGGGUGGAAUGAGAAUGGGGAGACGGUAUAGCAAUAAUAUCAAGCUUUUCUUCUUCCUUCCCUUCUCUGUCCCAAUCAAACGCAACUUUUCACGACUUCCCUUCCCCAACUCCGGUCUUUUUCUUCUUCCCAGCUCAGCUUGGACUAAACUGCUUACCCCUCCCACUCGACAUUCCAAAAUUCUUCUGUGUUCCCAUUGCCUCCACAAAGGCUAUCCCAGUGACGUGAAUCAGCAAGCAAACACACUCCCCCUCAGAGUCAAACAACCAACCUCUCUCCUCCAGCCUACUUACAACUGCAAAAAUAGAAAAAUGCAGGCGGCGGGGCUGGGGGGUGGGGAGAGGGAUACCAGAGAGGCUGCCAUGAAAUGUCACUUUGUGGGAGAGAGGGACUGUGCCUUUGAGAUGUAUGUCAUUGUCGUAGGACCUCAGAAAUACUCGACUGCUAAAUUCUGACAAAUUAUACCUGAUCUAAUGAAAUUGGGGCCAUAUGCUAGAUAGAUUGUAAUGGAGUUAAAGCUUGAAGAUUCUACUAACUUGAUAGUAAAUUCUACAAACAUUGAUUGAACACCUAGAUGGAGGGGACUGUACUGGGGAUAUAAAAAUGAAUAAAGCAUGAUGUCUUCAAGGAGCUUUCAA